UGGACAGAUUAUUAUAUUCGAUUGUGUUCACGACGUGAAAUAGGGAAAACGGAAAGUGAAUCAAUUAACAUAAUAGACUUCU
RNAcentral lists this microRNA precursor (82 nucleotides) under Nicotiana sylvestris (wood tobacco). RNAcentral describes it as "MIR6152 microRNA precursor family". It matches the Rfam family "MIR6152 microRNA precursor family". Lineage: Eukaryota; Viridiplantae; Streptophyta; Magnoliopsida; Solanales; Solanaceae. The record is from Rfam by way of RNAcentral.